RNAcentral lists this ribosomal RNA (176 nucleotides) under uncultured bacterium. RNAcentral describes it as "partial 16S ribosomal RNA". It matches the Rfam family "Bacterial small subunit ribosomal RNA", at positions 1317 to 1500 of the family's 1533-position model. The record is from RNAcentral.
UCCAUGAAGCUGGAUUCGCUAGUAAUCGCGCAUCAGCCACGGCGCGGUGAAUACGUUCCCGGGCCUUGUACACACCGCCCGUCAAGCCAUGGAAGCCGGGAGUGCCUGAAGUGCGUGACCGCAAGGAGCGUCCUAAGGCAAUACCGGUGACUGGGGCUAAGUCGUAACAAGGUACC